UGUCCGAGUGGUUAAGGAGGUGGACUUGAAAUCCAUUGGGCUCUGCCCGCGCAGGUUCGAAUCC
RNAcentral lists this transfer RNA (64 nucleotides) under Perkinsus olseni. RNAcentral describes it as "tRNA-Ser". It matches the Rfam family "tRNA", at positions 8 to 60 of the family's 71-position model. Rfam says of the family: Transfer RNA (tRNA) molecules are approximately 80 nucleotides in length. Their secondary structure includes four short double-helical elements and three loops (D, anti-codon, and T loops). Lineage: Eukaryota; Perkinsozoa; Perkinsida; Perkinsidae. The record is from RNAcentral.